RNAcentral lists this ribosomal RNA (301 nucleotides) under uncultured bacterium. RNAcentral describes it as "partial 16S ribosomal RNA". It matches the Rfam family "Bacterial small subunit ribosomal RNA", at positions 509 to 808 of the family's 1533-position model. The record is from RNAcentral.
CAGCCGCCGCGGGAAUACGUAGGUCCCGAGCGUUGUCCGGAUUUAUUGGGCGUAAAGCGAGCGCAGGCGGUUAGAUAAGUCUGAAGUUAAAGGCUGUGGCUUAACCAUAGUACGCUUUGGAAACUGUUUAACUUGAGUGCAAGAGGGGGGAGUGGAAUUCCAUGUGUAGCGGUGAAAUGCGUAGAUAUGUGGAGGAACACCGGUGGCGAAAGCGGCUCUCUGGCUUGUAACUGACGCUGAGGCUCGAAAGCGUGGGGAGCAAACAGGAUUAGAUACCCGUGUAGUCCCUGUCUCUUAUACA